GACGAACGCUGGCGGCGUGCUUAACACAUGCAAGUCGAACGGAAAGGCCCUGCUUUUGUGGGGUGCUCGAGUGGCGAACGGGUGAGUAACACGUGAGUAACCUGCCCUUGACUUUGGGAUAACUUCAGGAAACUGGGGCUAAUACCGGAUAGGAUCUCCUGCUGCAUGGUGGGGGUUGGAAAGUUUCGGCGGUUGGGGCUGGACUCGCGGCUUAUCAGCUUGUUGGUGGGGUAAUGGCUUACCAAGGCUUUGACGGGUAGCCGGCCUGAGAGGGUGACCGGCCACAAUGGGACUGAGAGACGGCGCAGACUGCUACGGGAGGCAGCAGUGGGAAAUAUUGCACAAUGAGCGGAAGCCUGAUGCAGAAGCGCCGCGUGCGGGAUGACGGCCUUCGGGUUGUAAACCGCUUUCGCCUGUGACGAAGCGUGAGUGACGGUAAUGGGUAAAGAAGCACCGGCUAACUACGUG
RNAcentral lists this ribosomal RNA (468 nucleotides) under uncultured bacterium. Its description in RNAcentral is "partial 16S ribosomal RNA". It matches the Rfam family "Bacterial small subunit ribosomal RNA", at positions 28 to 507 of the family's 1533-position model. The record is from RNAcentral.